RNAcentral lists this ribosomal RNA (467 nucleotides) under uncultured bacterium. RNAcentral describes it as "partial 16S ribosomal RNA". It matches the Rfam family "Bacterial small subunit ribosomal RNA", at positions 28 to 507 of the family's 1533-position model. The record is from RNAcentral.
GACGAACGCUGGCGGCGUGCUUAACACAUGCAAGUCGAACGGAAAGGCCUCUUUCGGGGGGUACUCGAGUGGCGAACGGGUGAGUAACACGUGAGUAACCUGCCCUUGACUUUGGGAUAACUUCAGGAAACUGGGGCUAAUACCGGAUAGGAGCUCCUGCUGCAUGGUGGGGGUUGGAAAGUUUCGGCGGUUGGGGAUGGACUCGCGGCGUAUCCGCUUGUUGGUGGGGUAGUGGCUUACCAAGGCUUUGACGGGUAGCCGGCCUGAGAGGGUGACCGGCCACAUUGGGACUGAGAUACGGCCCAGACUCCUACGGGAGGCAGCAGGGGGGAAGAUUGCACAAGGGGUGGAAGCCUGAUGCAGCAACGCCGUGGGCGGGAUGACGGCCUUCGUGUUGUAAACCGCUUUCGCUCAUGACGAAGCUUUGUGUGACGGUAGUGGGUAAAGAAGCACCGGCUAACUACGUG